This 1355-nucleotide ribosomal RNA is filed under the name uncultured bacterium. RNAcentral describes it as "bacterial SSU rRNA". It matches the Rfam family "Bacterial small subunit ribosomal RNA", at positions 28 to 1381 of the family's 1533-position model. The record is from RNAcentral.
AUUGAACGCUUGCGGCAGGCUUAACACAUGCAAGUCGAACGAUGAUUAUCUAGCUUGCUAGAUAUGAUUAGUGGCGGACGGGUGAGUAACAUUUAGGAAUCUGCCUAGUAGUGGGGGAUAGCUCGGGGAAACUCGAAUUAAUACCGCAUACGACCUACGGGUGAAAGGGGGCGCAAGCUCCUGCUAUUAGAUGAGCCUAAAUCAGAUUAGCUAGUUGGUGGGGUAAAGGCCCACCAAGGCGACGAUCUGUAACUGGUCUGAGAGGAUGAUCAGUCACACCGGAACUGAGACACGGUCCGGACUCCUACGGGAGGCAGCAGUGGGGAAUAUUGGACAAUGGGGGCAACCCUGAUCCAGCCAUGCCGCGUGUGUGAAGAAGGCCUUUUGGUUGUAAAGCACUUUAAGCAGGGAGGAGAGGCUAAUGGUUAAUACCCAUUAGAUUAGACGUUACCUGCAGAAUAAGCACCGGCUAACUCUGUGCCAGCAGCCGCGGUAAUACAGAGGGUGCGAGCGUUAAUCGGAAUUACUGGGCGUAAAGCGAGUGUAGGUGGCUCAUUAAGUCACAUGCGAAAUCCCCGGGCUUAACCUGGGAACUGCAUGUGAUACUGGUGGUGCUAGAAUAUGUGAGAGGGAAGUAGAAUUCCAGGUGUAGCGGUGAAAUGCGUAGAGAUCUGGAGGAAUACCGAUGGCGAAGGCAGCUUCCUGGCAUAAUAUUGACACUGAGAUUCGAAAGCGUGGGUAGCAAACAGGAUUAGAUACCCUGGUAGUCCACGCCGUAAACGAUGUCUACUAGCCGUUGGGGUCCUUGAGACUUUAGUGGCGCAGUUAACGCGAUAAGUAGACCGCCUGGGGAGUACGGCCGCAAGGUUAAAACUCAAAUGAAUUGACGGGGGCCCGCACAAGCGGUGGAGCAUGUGGUUUAAUUCGAUGCAACGCGAAGAACCUUACCUGGUCUUGACAUAGUGAGAAUCCUGCAGAGAUGCGGGAGUGCCUUCGGGAAUUCACAUACAGGUGCUGCAUGGCUGUCGUCAGCUCGUGUCGUGAGAUGUUGGGUUAAGUCCCGCAACGAGCGCAACCCUUUUCCUUAUUUGCCAGCGGGUUAAGCCGGGAACUUUAAGGAUACUGCCAGUGACAAACUGGAGGAAGGCGGGGACGACGUCAAGUCAUCAUGGCCCUUACGACCAGGGCUACACACGUGCUACAAUGGUAGGUACAGAGGGUUGCUACACAGCGAUGUGAUGCUAAUCUCAAAAAGCCUAUCGUAGUCCGGAUUGGAGUCUGCAACUCGACUCCAUGAAGUCGGAAUCGCUAGUAAUCGCAGAUCAGAAUGCUGCGGUGAAUACGUUCCCGGGCCU